GUCCACGCCCUAAACGAUGAUGACUAGUUGUUGGAGGAGUUAAAUCCUUUAGUAACGCAGCUAACGCGUGAAGUCAUCCGCCUGGGGAGUACGGUCGCAAGAUUAAAACUCAAAGGAAUUGACGGGGCCCGCACAAGCGGUGGAUGAUGUGGUUUAAUUCGAUGCAACGCGAAAAACCUUACCUACCCUUGACAUGUCAGGAACGCUGCAGAGAUGCAGCGGUGCCCGAAAGGGAACCUGAACACAGGUGCUGCAUGGCUGUCGU
Molecule: ribosomal RNA, 265 nt
Filed under: uncultured bacterium
Lineage: Bacteria
Description: partial 16S ribosomal RNA
Rfam family: Bacterial small subunit ribosomal RNA
Source: RNAcentral